AUCCGGAGGGUGCAAGCGUUGUCCGGAUUUAUAGGGUUUAAAGGGUGUGUAGGCGGUGUAUUAAGUCAGUGGUGAAAGCCUGCGGCUCAACCGUAGAACUGCCAUUGAUACUGACACACUUGAGUAUGGACGAGGUAGGCGGAAUUUAUGGUGUAGCGGUGAAAUGCAUAGAUACCAUAAAGAACACCGAUAGCGAAGGCAGCUUACUAGGCCAUAACUGACGCUGAGGCACGAAAGCGUGGGGAGCAAACAGGAUUAGAUACCCCUGUAGUCC
RNAcentral lists this ribosomal RNA (274 nucleotides) under uncultured bacterium. RNAcentral's name for it is "partial 16S ribosomal RNA". It matches the Rfam family "Bacterial small subunit ribosomal RNA", at positions 523 to 796 of the family's 1533-position model. The record is from RNAcentral.